GAUGUUACAAGUAGCAGUAUCAAGAUCCAUCUUACUUUUCUGGAAAACCUUAAACAUUUCCAACGCCUUUUCUAACUUCCCAUUCUCGCAGAGACCGGCCAGCAGAGUGUUACAAGUUACGAUAUCAGGGGACACACCAUUAGAAAUCAUCUCCUGGAAAAGGUCUUGAGCAACAUUAACAUUCCCCACUUGACAGAACCCGUGAAUAAGAUGCUGUAAGAAACGGUAUCAGGAACUAAUCCUCUUCUCGACAUCUCAUGGAGAAGCUUCAUUCCAUCAUCUACCCUCUUCGCCCUACAGCAUCCAUCUAUGAGAGUAUUUAAAGUAAUUAUAUCCGGAGAGCAGCCCUUGCUAACCAUCAAAUCAAACAUGUGCUUUGCGUCUUCUAGACGGCUAUGCUUGCAAAAUCCAUCGAUCAUUGAACUAUACGUGAUUGUGGUAGGAAAUAUAUUCCUUCGAAGCAUCUCACGGUAUAAUUCUUCAGCCCCAGAGACCUUUCCUUCUUUGACAAAUGCAUUGAUCAAUGCGCUGAAAGUAACAACAUCAGGGUCGAUAUUCCUUUCGAUCAUAUCACGCAGCAAUUGCUCCGCAUCACUCCAUUUACCAUAGCUACAAUAACCGUCUAUCAUACAAUUGUAAGUGAGAACAUUGGGAAAAAUACCUUUCUCAUGCAUUUCAGUGAAAAUAUUUUGAGCCUUGAUGUGGUUCCCGUCCUUGCAAAGGCGAUCAACGAUGGCAGAAUAGAUUACAACAUUGGCUUUGAUUUGGCUUUCAUCCAUCUUCCUAAGCAUAUUCAAAGCCGAGACAGUGUCACCCAACUUACACAUUCCAUUGACAAUUGUUCCGUAAGUAACCGCGUCAGGUUGAUGACCUUCUUCUACCAUCCGAUCAACAAGAGCUAGCGCUUGGAGAACUCGACCCUCGCGGCAAAGACCGUUCAUCAGUGUGGUAAACGUUACGACAUUUGCAGGACAUCCCGUU
Molecule: small RNA, 981 nt
Filed under: Arabidopsis thaliana (thale cress)
Lineage: Eukaryota; Viridiplantae; Streptophyta; Magnoliopsida; Brassicales; Brassicaceae
Description: ATSL062650
Source: RNAcentral